RNAcentral lists this ribosomal RNA (871 nucleotides) under uncultured archaeon. RNAcentral describes it as "bacterial SSU rRNA". It matches the Rfam family "Archaeal small subunit ribosomal RNA", at positions 125 to 995 of the family's 1478-position model. The record is from RNAcentral.
CAUAACCCCGGGAAACUGGGGAUAAUACCGGAUAACGCAUAUGUGCUGGAAUGCUUUAUGCGUAAAACGGAUUCGUCCGCCCAAGGAUGGGUCUGCGGCCUAUCAGGUAGUAGUGGGUGUAAUGUACCUACUAGCCAACAACGGGUACGGGUUGUGAGAGCAAGAGCCCGGAGAUGGAUUCUGAGACAUGAAUCCAGGCCCUACGGGGCGCAGCAGGCGCGAAAACUUUACAAUGCGGGAAACCGUGAUAAGGGAACACCGAGUGCCAGCAUCAUAUGCUGGCUGUCCAGAUGUGUGAAGUACAUCUGUUAGCAAGGGCCGGGCAAGACCGGUGCCAGCCGCCGCGGUAACACCGGCGGCCCGAGUGGUGACCGUUAUUAUUGGGUCUAAAGGGUCCGUAGCCGGUUUGGUCAGUCCUCCGGGAAAUCUGAUAGCUUAACUGUUAGGCUUUCGGGGGAUACUGCCAGGCUUGGAACCGGGAGAGGUAAGAGGUACCACAGGGGUAGGAGUGAAAUCUUGUAAUCCCUGUGAGACCACCUGUGGCGAAGGCGUCUUACCAGAACGGGUUCGACGGUGAGGGACGAAAGCUGGGGGCACGAACCGGAUUAGAUACCCGGGUAGUCCCAGCCGUAAACUAUGCUCGCUAGGUGUCAGGCAUGGCGCGACCGUGUCUGGUGCCGCAGGGAAGCCGUGAAGCGAGCCACCUGGGAAGUACGGCCGCAAGGCUGAAACUUAAAGGAAUUGGCGGGGGAGCACAACAACGGGUGGAGCCUGCGGUUUAAUUGGACUCAACGCCGGACAACUCACCGGGGACGACAGCAAAAUGUAGGCCAGGCUGAAGACCUUGCCUGAAUCGCUGAGAGGAGUGCAU